GAUGAACGCUGGCGGCGUGCCUAACACAUGCAAGUCGAACGGAGUUAUUGAAUUGAGACCUUCGGGUGGAUAUAUAAUAACUUAGUGGCGGACGGGUGAGUAACGCGUGGGUAACCUGCCCUAUACCGGGGGAUAGCAGUUGGAAACGACUGAUAAUACCGCAUAAGCGCACAGUAUCGCAUGAUACAGUGUGAAAAUUUCCGGAGGUAUAGGAUGGACCCGCGUCAGAUUAGCCAGUUGGCAGGGUAACGGCCUACCAAAGCAACGAUCUGUAGCCGGCCUGAGAGGGCGGACGGCCACAUUGGGACUGAGACACGGCCCAAACUCCUACGGGAGGCAGCAGUGGGGAAUAUUGCACAAUGGGGGCAACCCUGAUCCAGCCAUGCCGCGUGAGUGAAGAAGGCCUCGGUUGUAAAGCUCUUCGGUCCGGGAAGGAAAGUACGUAUGGGUUAAGUAACCCUCGUGUCGGAUGACGGUACCGGCCGAUAAGAAAGCAACCGGCUAACCUUAACGUGCCAGGCAACG
Molecule: ribosomal RNA, 525 nt
Filed under: uncultured bacterium
Lineage: Bacteria
Description: bacterial SSU rRNA
Rfam family: Bacterial small subunit ribosomal RNA
Source: RNAcentral